GGGCCCGCACAAGCGGUGGAGCAUGUGGUUUAAUUCGAUGCAACGCGAAGAACCUUACCUACUCUUGACAUCCUCGGAAUCCUCUAGAGAUAGAGGAGUGCCUUCGGGAAUCGAGUGACAGGUGCUGCAUGGCUGUCGUCAGCUCGUGUCGUGAGAUGUUGGGUUAAGUCCCGUAACGAGCGCAACCCUUGCCCUUAGUUGCCAGCAGUUCGGCUGGGUACUUUAAGGGACUGCCGUGAUAAACCGGAGGAAGGUGGGACGACGUCAAAGUCAUCAUGGCCCCUUACGAGUAGGGCUACACACGUGCUACAAUGGGCAGUACAGAGGGUUGCCAAGCCUGAGGCGGAGCU
This 350-nucleotide ribosomal RNA is filed under the name uncultured bacterium. RNAcentral describes it as "bacterial SSU rRNA". It matches the Rfam family "Bacterial small subunit ribosomal RNA", at positions 917 to 1269 of the family's 1533-position model. The record is from RNAcentral.